RNAcentral lists this long non-coding RNA (229 nucleotides) under Carica papaya (papaya). RNAcentral describes it as "long non-coding RNA (CPAP_LNC012980)". The record is from RNAcentral. Lineage: Eukaryota; Viridiplantae; Streptophyta; Magnoliopsida; Brassicales; Caricaceae.
ACUGUUUUAAAAUCUUAUGAUGUUAACUAAGUAUUGUUUUCCUUACUGAGUAGAUGGAACUCACCCUUUUCCAUGCCCCUAUUCAUAUGAGGAAGAUAGUGAGGAACCAAUUGCUGACCUACCCCUUGAAGUCUUUAAGGAUCCCGUGGAUCCAUAAACUUUUAUGAGUGCAUGACUUGUCUCACACUCUGAUGAGUCCAUUUAUAUAAUAAUAGAAGUAGCUCUCUUU